Molecule: unclassified non-coding RNA, 175 nt
Filed under: uncultured Metarhizium
Lineage: Eukaryota; Fungi; Ascomycota; Sordariomycetes; Hypocreales; Clavicipitaceae
Description: sequence contains ITS2
Source: RNAcentral
CGCCCCUCAAGUCCCCUGUGGACUUGGUGUUGGGGAUCGGCGAGGCUGGUUUUCCAGCACAGCCGUCCCUUAAAUUAAUUGGCGGUCUCACCGUGGCCCUCCUCUGCGCAGUAGUAAAACACUCGCAACAAGAGCCCGGCGCGGUCCACUGCCGUAAAACCCCCCAACUUUUUAU